UACAGAGGUCUCAAGCGUUGUUCGGAAUCACUGGGCGUAAAGGGCGCGUAGGUUGUUGAGUAAGUCAGAUGUGAAAACUUAGCGCUCAACGUUAAGCCUGCAUUUGAUACUGUUCAACUUGAGAGUCAGAGGGGAAGCUAGAAUUCACGGUGUAGCAGUGAAAUGCGUAGAUAUCGUGAGGAAUACCAAAGGCGAAGGCAGGCUUCUGGAUGACUUCUGACACUGAAGCGCGAAGGCUAGGGGAGCAAAUGGG
Molecule: ribosomal RNA, 253 nt
Filed under: uncultured bacterium
Lineage: Bacteria
Description: partial 16S ribosomal RNA
Rfam family: Bacterial small subunit ribosomal RNA
Source: RNAcentral